RNAcentral lists this ribosomal RNA (464 nucleotides) under uncultured bacterium. RNAcentral describes it as "partial 16S ribosomal RNA". It matches the Rfam family "Bacterial small subunit ribosomal RNA", at positions 28 to 506 of the family's 1533-position model. The record is from RNAcentral.
GACGAACGCUGGCGGCGUGCUUAACACAUGCAAGUCGAACGGAAAGGCCCCUUUGGGGGUACUCGAGUGGCGAACGGGUGAGUAACACGUGAGUAACCUGCCCUUGACUUCGGGAUAACUUCAGGAAACUGGGGCUAAUACCGGAUAGGAAUCCUUGCUGCAUGGUGGGGGUUGGAAAGCUUCGGCGGUUUUGGAUGGACUCGCGGCUUAUCAGCUUGUUGGUGGGGUAGUGGCUUACCAAGGCUUUGACGGGUAGCCGGCCUGAGAGGGCGACCGGCCAAAUUGGGACUGAGAUACGGCCCAAACUCCUACGGGGGGCAGCAGGGGGGAAUUUUGCACAAGGGGCGGAAGCCUGAUCCAGCAACGCCGGGGGGGGGAUGACGGCCUUCGGGUUUUAAACCGCUUUCAGCGGGGGCGAAGCUUGUGGUGACGGUACCUGAAGAAGAAGCACCGGCUAACUACGU